This 222-nucleotide ribosomal RNA is filed under the name uncultured bacterium. RNAcentral describes it as "partial 16S ribosomal RNA". It matches the Rfam family "Bacterial small subunit ribosomal RNA", at positions 111 to 334 of the family's 1533-position model. The record is from RNAcentral.
UAAUGCGUUGGGAAUCUAGCUUAUGGAGGGGGAUAACUACGGGAAACUGUAGCUAAUACCGCGUAGAAGUCGGGAGAUGAAAGUGUGGGACCUUCGGGCCACAUGCCAUAGGAUGAGCCCAAGUGGGAUUAGGUAGUUGGUGAGGUAAAGGCUCACCAAGCCGACGAUCUCUAGCUGGUCUGAGAGGAUGACCAGCCACACUGGGACUGAGACACGGCCCAG